Molecule: long non-coding RNA, 2789 nt
Organism: Dermacentor silvarum
Lineage: Eukaryota; Metazoa; Arthropoda; Arachnida; Ixodida; Ixodidae
Exons: 4
Source: RefSeq, a predicted model, not a curated record
GCUAUACCUGCUAUACGUCUCCCGUGACAGCUGUACCAGCGAUUGACGACUUAAGACACCAUAUAGUAUACCACUUCACCGACUCCUUUCACCGCCGGGUUCUAAGCUGUGAAGCGUGCUCGAAGCUUUGCGUCGCGCCAAUCAACCGGAGGAUAACGAAGCAACUGUCGUCGCCACGUGCCUCCCAGCUAACCUACAAGGUGAAUCGAGUGCAACCAAGUGACCGUGUCACUACUCCGGGGGACAACGCAACCAAGUGACCGUGGCACGUCUCCGAGGGACAACGGAGCAACCGUCGUCGCUACGUUCGAUCUUCGGCAGUGAUAUUCACCAGGUGCGAUUCUAGCUUGCGAGGGUGGCGCGGCCAAUAAAUCAACUAAAUGGCAAUGUUAACUGUUUUAGACUGAUUGGCAAGAAAAGGCCGCUGCCACAUUGGGUCGUCGUCGUGACGGAAGCGGAGAGGACUGGGUGGGGCGAUUGUAGCUUUAGGCUUAGCUAACACUAGGCAGGGUAGCUCACGCUGCGCAGGCUCCAGCUGGCAGGGAGUCCUCUCUCGUUUGCGACACGGACAUCGGCCCAUUCCGAGUGCUAUUGCUUCCCGGUCAUAAUUUCGCGUGUCGGCGCACUCGAGAUGUGGAAGUAAAUUGCACCCGGAAUUAAUUAGUGCCAGGUUUCUUACAGCAAAACAGAAGAAGAACGGACGUUGCCUACGGUCUGCAGCGCGGUGCGCUGCGGCGAAGACGGUGGUGGGUGGACGCAUUUUUCGUUUCUUUUUUUUUUUUUUUUUUUUGUCUUCCGUAUGUUCUCGUCCCUAUUGCUGUGUCACACCGCGCUUUCCUCGCUCGACAAGCCAACCACCGUGGACUAGUCCCAUUGCCCACUCCAGAGCGAUGACGCUUGGUGAGUACGUGCUUUCUGGUUACUUUCGUCAUUUAACAAGUGCCUCCCCCCCCCCCCCCUUUUUUUUUAAUAGGCUUCAGAUCUGCAACCUGUACCUUGGCCCCUGGCACAUGUUCCUGCACCCAGCCGUGUCUAGCACAGAUCACGUUCGGCACCCGUCUGUCGUCCGGCAGCUGAUCGGGACUUCACUUCUGUUCCUGCCUCACUGCUAUUGGUGGCUUGCUGAAUGAAGAUGCCUGCAUCUCUGUGCUGCAGUACGUCGACUGCACUCCGCAUCCUUUACUGCCAGUCGCAUGCGACGAAUUUUCCUGCACCCGGCCGUGUCUCGCACAGAUGAUGUUCAGCACUUGUCAUCCCACGGCUGAUCGUGUCACUUCUGUUCCUGCCUCAUUGCUUCUGGUGUCCUGCUGAAUGAAGAUGCUUGCAAUCUCCGUGCUGCAGUACGUCUACUGCAUUUUGCAACCCUUGUCUCGACAUCUGCCAUCCAUCAAGGUUGUCCCACCAGCGUAAUAGGCAAUGACACCAAGUGCAGACCGUAUGGAGGCAGGCGUUUCUCUCGCCACUCAUCGCAUUGCUGCUCCCGAAAACGUCGUGCUGCAGGAAACGUUCUUCGCUGCCUCGACGAGGCCACACAACUAUGAAGUCCCAAGAAACAGCACGACGUUGCGUGACAUGAAUGCUCAUCCCAGUUGAAGUUGUUCGUUCCACCCUAUAGAAGAUGACGCCACUCGAUGAAGUCACAUGUUAUUCAGUGGCUGUGACCGUAUGAUCUGGGUACCGAAAAAUCCCAGGUACCAUGCUGUUCUAUAGUUCAUCGUAGUGGUACACUGCUCAGACUCUAGCAUUGGGUUGAUGUGGGGAUUCUUGCUUCUUACGUUCAUUGGCAUUCUGUGCUUUUGUGAUGGUACAACGAUGCUGCUUUGCGUUUCCGAAUUGUGUGCGCGCGCGCAUUAGCGUGUGUGUGUGUGUGUGUGUGCGCGCGCGCAUGGGCGUGUGUGUGUGUGUGUGCGCGCGCGCGCAUUGGCGUGUGUGUGUGUGUGCGCGCGCGCAUGGGCGUGUGUGUGUGUGUGUGCGUGCGCAUUGGUGUGUGUGUGUGUGUGUGCGUGCGCGCGCAUUGGCGUGGGUGUGUGUGUGUGUGUGUUUCAUCUGGCAGUUAACAUCAUUCCGGCUGGGGCGCAUUUCCAAUUCAUCCACGAAUUGUUUGACUAGUUUCUUGCAAAUCGUGAUUUCCUUCAGUAAGGUCGUCGAAUACUCAGCAAUGAUGGUUGCGAAUUGUUUCGGAAACUCUUGCAACAUUUGCACUGUACAACUCGCCCACUCGUAUAUUUAGUCGUGGCACUUUGGUAUUGGUAUUCCAAGGAAUUUCUGUUGGUAUCUUUUUCCUUAUUCACAUAUUCUUUGUCUUUCAAGUGACUCAUCAUGGACAAUGCAAAACAGCAUCAAUGUACCAUUGCAAUAAGCACAUGGUGUUAAUUAAAGGCAUUAAUUAUUAUUAUUAUAAGCACAUCCUUUAAAAUCUGGUGCCGGCAUGGCACCAAGCCGUUACAUUUUUUUUUACCUGUCUGCUGUCAUUAAUGAUGCUGAUAAUAAGCAGUGUACCACCCGAAAGGCAGUUUCUGGAUCGCUCUUCAGACACUACCACACAAGCCUGCUGUGUUAACCAGACUGUUUUUCAUAGUUCCUUUUGUCCUACAUGAGUGUUCACUGCCCUGUGUAAAUUUACCUGCCUGUGUUUAUUUACUGGACAUUUCUAUGACGUGCAAAAUUUGCUCACUGAUAUUCCCUGGAACUGAAUAAAAUAGCGAGGAUGUUUUUUUUUCUUUAUCGUACCUUUCUUGCACUGUUUUCCCCUAUGUGAAAAAGAUUGUCAGAACUACCUCUUACACAAU